RNAcentral lists this long non-coding RNA (20251 nucleotides) under Malus domestica (apple). RNAcentral's name for it is "long non-coding RNA (MDOM_LNC015950)". Lineage: Eukaryota; Viridiplantae; Streptophyta; Magnoliopsida; Rosales; Rosaceae. The record is from RNAcentral.
ACUAUAACUAACUCUCUUAAUCUGUUUACAAGUGUCACAAUCCUAUGUGUACAUUAUCUCUAACAACAAACACCGAAGUGUUGGACAUAAUUUUGCAUGAUACAAGUAACUAUAGCCUAGAAAGAAGCAGGCAUUUCUCAAAGUCAUGCAAUUAAAAUUGUCUGUCUGUGAGCCUCUCGCAAAUUCAUCAAUCGUGAUAGAGUAGGUAAGAAUGUGAAUAAAUGUUACACAUCAAAAAUUUACAAAAUUUUGCAAGGGCCUAUAAGAAGUUGGGUGAUCUAUUACCAAUUGGGUUUUGGUUGGAUCAUCAAAGAAGUUUGUUACUAAGUUGAUUAAGGACAUUCACUCUUGCACAGAAGGUCUCAACUUCAGUUCUCCUCUCCCGCAAAUCACUUGUGUAAAAAUUAAAAAGUAAAGAGAAAAAAAAAUAUAAUGAGAAAUAAUCAAAUGUGAGUAUCUACAAUCACGUGUUUAUUUUUCACCUAAUUUCUUAAUUAGGUGUGGUCAAUUAUGUAUAAAUUUUUUUUUUCGUAUUAGGUGUAACAAAUUAUAUAUAAACAUAUUUUUUCCUCUCUUGAGAAUAGAGAUAAAUAGAUGGUUAAUUAGUUUUGCUAUACAAAUAAUAAGCAAACAAUGUGGGACUGCAAAGUUUUUGAUAAUUGAGUUCACAUUGCACUACCAAAUUGCCCAAAAGAGAGAACCAUAUUCUCCUCUCCUUUUGGCAAUUUUUUCUCACUAGCGAUUCGAGCUAAAAGGAUUUACAUAUGUUCUAUACUAUAUCGACUUUAAAAAUUAAAUAAACUGUUAAUUUUUCAAGCAAAGCGAUUCCUUCGAAUAUAUUGUAAAAUAUGUGUAGAAAAUAUAUUGUAAAAAAACUCACGAAUAAGCAAAACAGAUAGCCAAAGGUAGAGACAGAGUGAGAGUAAAGAGAUACCACUUACGUGGUUCGACAGCGUCACUUUGUAUCCAUGUUCAUGGGAAGGGAAGAUUGCAAGUAAUUUCUGCAAUCUCAAUCUCACAACUAUAUACAAUAUACAGAACCAAUUGAUAUACUUCAAAAUAAUCUCUACUAAUUAAUGAAACCCUCUUUGUCAACCAAAAGAGGGUGAAAAGACAACUUAGUCUUCUAUCCUACAAAAAAAUGAUGGGCAAUAAUGUAAUUUCACAUGUUCAAAUUUUACUAUUUUUUAUUGAAGCCUCACCUACAUGUGAUGUUAAACUACCUCCAAUAUUUAAAAAAAUUAAACAAAAAUUAAACAAAAAACCAAAAACAAAAACCUCCCACUCCCCCACGUUCUCUCUCUCCCUCUCUCCUUCUCAUUUUCUAAAAAACUGUGUUCAUACACACAAAAUGUGUAGACAAAUGCUAGUUAAUUAAUAAAGAAAAGGAGAUUAAGAAGAUCAAUAAUGCAAUUUGAUAUUAUUGUUUACACAAUCUCUAAUAUAUGUCUUAUCAUUUUAUAGAUGGCUCACAUGUAUUAAAAAAGGUAUUGCUAUCCACACACCAUUUUUCAUUUCACACACACCUUUAUCAAUUUACAGUCGUCAGAUCAAAUGAAUUGAAGAAGAUCAAUAACAAAAAUUAACGAAGAUGUGUGAAAUAUAAAAAUAAGUGUGUAAAAAAUAAAAAUAAAUAUGUAAAUAGCAUUGUCCUUAGUAUAAAAAAUGAUGUCACUCUCAUAUUUCAUAAAUUGCCAACAAACGAUCUCAAAAAGUAAUAAAAUAUAAAGAGUAAAUGGAUUAGGGGAACUGAAGGAGGACAACCAUACAAACUGGUGCCAAAUGGGAUUAAACAAGGUUGUACAAGAAAGACAACAUGAUUACAAAUUCACGUAUGAAAUCAAUGUUGAGACGGAAAGAACAUUAUUGUCCUUUGACUAGGAGGUAACCCUAUUUAUAAAAGGCAUAUAUAUGGCAUCAAUAUUUGACGCCGCAACCCUUUAAUUCGAUUAGAAACGCCUUUGGCGAUGCCCCAAAGAGCUUUGCUUUCCCCAAAAGAUAGGGGUUUGAGUUUUACUUAAAGGACAAAGAGAUCAUCCUUGUAAAUAAGGCGGCAAAUAAAAGGUGUCCUUGUAAUUUAAUGGAUAAAGAGAAUAAAGAGAAAAGAGAGACAUUGUGCUAUACCUCUCUUUCAACGUUAAUUAUGAUGCAUUUUGAAGGAUAAAAACAUUAUGCUUCACAUGAAUGACAAGAAAGAAUUAAUGCAUAUGAUAUGGAUAUUGUUAACGUGAAUAUCUGGUUGACCCAGUCCACUCUUGCUAUGUCACCGUUGGAUGGAAGACUCGUUGACUGAGGAUCGCCGUUGGAUGUAUUACUUGUUGAUUGAGGACUAGAUCACCGUUGAAUAAGAAACCCUUUGGCACGUGAUAGACCAUCUCUUCUAUGGUCUGCUCAGUGGUUAGUUCUUCUAGAGUGUUCAGCCAUCUUCCAGAAUGACAACCUCCCCCAAGGGGUCAGCUCUUCCCAAGUGUUUAGCCCUCUUUGGGAAUGACCACCACUUGAAUGAAGGUCAUUUGACUAUUUAACAAAAGACUAGAUUUUUGUUAGUCUUUAGAUAUUUAUCUAAUGGAUAGGAAGCUGCCUAUAAAAGAAAGGCAUAAGCACCAAGAAAACGACGAUCACACAUUCUCCACUAGACCUCCCUCUCUAUGUAUAUCGUUAGGGAUGACAAUUUUAACCGUUAAAACCGAUAACCGUUGAUAACUACCUGAAAGAAUAAGAUUUGGGUAUGAAAAUUCGGGUAUAUUUUGGAUAUGGAAAAAAACCAUGAAUAAUAUUCGGUUAUGGUUUUGGAUAUGGUUAUAGGGUCCCCAAUCCAUAUCCGUCCCUGAAUCCGAACCGAAUUAUAUAUAAUAUAAUUGUAUUAUAUAAUAUAUAUAUAUAUAUAUAUAUAUAUAUAUAUUAUUCACUGAAUCCAUUACCUUGAGAAUACAAAAGUUGCACUGUUUGAGUUGCAUUUUGUGGGCAAGUUAAAAAGUUUUGAUAUGAAUCAAAAUCUAUGAGAAUCCAGAACAAUAGUACUUAUGGGAGAUAUCAAAGAUUAGCCAACAUUAUCAAUGUUUAACUUUAAAUUUUAUGCUCCACAAGAUCCAUUCAUUAAAUCAUUUUAUACAUCAAUAUUUAAUGACGAAAUUAAUAUUUAUUAAGUUAUCAUGCGUCAAUUGAACAUAUAUAUUUUUUGCAUUGACGAAGAUGGGUAUAACCGUUAACCGAUGGGGAAUCCAUUACUCAGUGGGUACGGUUAUGGAUAAUACCCGAUGGUUAAUUGAUGGUUAUGGAUAUGGUUAAUUUUCAUGGUUAUGGGGAUGGAUAUAGCAUUUUCGUCCUCAAAUCGAACCAUUGCCAUCCCUACAUAUUGUAAUUAGGGAUGCAACUUGGGUUGGGUCAACCCGAAUCCGCCGAUGCUUAACUCGAUUUCAAACCCGAUUGAGCAAGUUAAAAUGAAGUAAAAGCCUGCCCAAACCUAACCCGACAUCAACCCGAUUAUUUGUUGGGUUGGGUUGAUGAUUUGCCCGUCCAUGUCAACCCAAACCCAACCCGAUUUCUAGCCCGAAUUGUUCAUGUACAUAUUACCUUUCCACUUCAUAUUAUUAUGGGAACUUUAACGAAAAGCCCCCGAUACUGUUCAUUUUAACGAACCACAUUUUUACACUAAAAAGUCAAUCCUGGUACUAUUCACUUUACCCUUUAAUUUUUCCUUUUCGUUAAAACUCAAAGUUUUCAUGUUAUUUUCAUUAGUUUUCCUUAUUAUAUAAGCUAGAUACAAGUUUGGGAGGGCUAUACUUGAAGUUUGUUGUUUCAUUUGAACAAUGAAUGAUUGUGUUGAUUUGAUGUUUCUUUUGGUUAAAACGUUGGUAUUGUCUAUGUAAAUUUGAAUUUUAAAUCUUUUUGACAUUAUUUAGUUCAAAAUAUGAGAUUUAUCUUAUAAAACAAUGUAUUACAAUAUUGAAAUUGAUAAAGUUGGGUAAACCCAAACCCAACCCGAAUAAGCUUGAACCAAUUUAAACCCAAACCCGAAUAAAAUCGCAUGAACCCAAACCCGAAUUAGGAAUGUUGAGUUAGAGUUGUGCUGACCAUCUAACUCACCCGAGUUGCACCCCUAAUUGUAAUAAGCCCAAGGUUUCUCUCCUUUUCAUGUAAUAUCCAUAUAAAAGCAUAUAUACAAUACUACUACAGUGGGCGUAGCUGGUUAAAGCCUUAUAAGGAAACAAAAUUAUUGCUAACUCAUCGUGAGGCUAAGCUCAUCCCUUCAUUCUUAGUGUAGAUAAUAUCGUUUGUUAAAAAAAAAAGUCGUCUAUUAAUUUAACGAAUAUUAAAUAAUUAAUAAGUUAAUAAUUUAUUAAUUUAUCGAUUAAUUCAUAACAUAUUGUUUUAUCAAGGUGUUCUUUAUUUUCUUAAGUUUUCUACAUCAUAUUUAGUUGCUCGUUUUACGAAUUAAUAUUUUUUUAUAUUUGUUUAACCAAGUAAAAUUUAUGAAUGUAUUCAUUUUUUCCAAAAAUAGAUAAUAUUGUUCAGUGUACUACAUAUUUAAUUCUAUGAAACAUAUAACCAAGCAAAAGCAGUAUGUGUGUGAGGAUGUGAAGGUAAAAAAGUCCCACAUUGGUGAAAGGAGAAACUUUGUAAGGACUUAUAAGAGGUUUUGUUACUUCUCAUAUUGCCAAUUGGUUUUAUGGUGGAACCCUAACUUUUUUCAUGGUAUCAGAGUAGGUUGGCUCACGUGUGAAGUCCAACGACCACAUAUGCUCCACGUCACCCAAUUCGUGUUGUCCACGUGUUUGGCUUAAAAAUUCGCUACACAUGAAGGGCUGUGUGAGGAUGUGAAGGUAAAAGAGUCCCACAUUGACAUUGGUGAAAGGAGAAACCCCAAAGCAAGGGCUUUGACAUUGGUGAAGGAGAAACCUUGCAAGGGCUUUAUGCUCUUCCCAUAUUUCCAAUUGGUUUUAUGGUGAAACCGCAACUUUCUUCAUCAAGAAAUUAUUAAUUUAUAUAUUACGUGGGACCUAUACGAAUUUAUUAUAAUGUAUAUCUUACAAAUUUAGCGAAUAAUUAAUUUAGCACGUUAUCCCCAAGUCGAGACCAGCCAAAGAUAUUAUUUAUAUGAGGUUACUAAUUUAUCGAGUAUCAAAUUAUCAAGGUUCCAUUGUAUUUAAUAUUACCUAACUUAAUAGAUUUUCCUUGGUCCCAAGGUUAUUAAUUUGUAGAGGUUUAACUAUAACUGAAAACAAAAAAGACACUACAAGAUUGCCAAAAAGGCUACAUAACUCGAAAAGAUCUUGACACGUUUACGUCUACAGAGUUACAAAACAUCAUAUUUAUAGAUAACUAGCCCUAAUCCUAAUACACAAAAAAUCCAAAUCCUUAAUCUAUAAGAAAAUUAAUCAUUUAAAAAAUUAUAUAAUAAUAAACUAAAAAACCUAAUUUUUCAACAAAAAGUAAUUUGUGAGACUCAUCUCUAAAUUAAUUUUUCAACUAGUCUGGACAAUUGUUCAUGUUGGCAGAUAAUAUCACGAUAGGAUAUUUCUCUAACUACGUACACGCAAGACUCAAUCCCCAAAUUUAUGGAAUAUGGACACUUAUAGCUUGUUUGGAAAUGCUUUUAAAAUGGCUGAAAACUGUUAGCGCUCAAAUAACAAAUUAAGAUAAUAAACCCUUAGAGGGUUCUAAGUACAAAAUGAAAUGAAUUGGACCCAAAGAUUUAAGUGGUUCACCCCUCAAAAUUAAGCUACAUCCACUGUGGUACUUGGAUUCAUAUUGAUAUUAAGACUAAAAUGGCGCUCGGCAAAUAAAAAUGCUCUCACCCUUUCAGUUAUCCUACCUCCAUUUAGGAGGUCUUUCCCUUUUAUAUAGGCCCUCAAUGAACCCCUCAACUUUAAGUCUUCCCACUUGGCAUUUAAUGCACCACUUACUUGGCCUAAAAUGCUAACAUCUUUUCCCUUUUCAAUCCCAACAUUCAGUUGUGAAAUGAUUGGCGCUCAGCUUGAAUAGCAUGUCCUGUCAUAAUAGUACGAGCUGAGCACUCCGCUCAGUCUCGGUUAUCCAACCCCGCCUACCUGAGCACCGUUCCAAUUGCCUUUACGUCUUGCCCUAAGCCUCUAUCACUGAAUGAUGGUUGUCAUGCGACAUGAUUGGCAUCUGGAUAGACCUGUCUUUUGGGAACUAGUGCCAUAAAGUUGUCAGUCUGUUCACGUGCCCAUAGCGGUCAUAAGCCUUCUUGCGUUCCCAUGCUGGAUUGAUGGGCGGUCAGUUGUUUUGCUCGGACAUAUCCUCUUCUAAGCCUUUUGGGCCUUGAUCUUCUCGAUCUUUCUUGGGCCUCCUAGCUAGGGCUUUCGUCUUGGCAUGCACCACUAUUUGGGCUCAAAAGUGCCAUGCGUUAACAAAAACACUUCUGGUGAAAAUGUUUUUGAAAUCAAUCAUUAGUAAAAAUGCAAAUAAAUCCUGAAAUAAGUACUUAAAAGUGCUUCUUGGAAGAAACACAUAACUGAUGCUUCUUGCAGAAAACACUUUAAUUGCUUUUGGAACCUAAAAACAUUUUCUCUAGCUAAAAGCGCUUUCAAUCAUUUUAAAAGUACUUCUAAACGAACCCUUAAAUUUCUAUCAGGAUAAUAAAUAGGAAAACUAAUGAAAAAAUGAUUGAAAACUUUGAGUUUUAACCAAAAUGACAAAAAUGUGUUAUAAGUGAAUAGUACUAGGAGUACUUUUUAGAGUAAAAAUAUCUUUAACGUUAAAAGUGAACAGUACUAAAAGUGUUUCGUUAAGACUCCCAAUAAAUAAACCCUUCUCUUUUUCUAUCCUGUUGGAAUAUCAGAUCAUUCCCUAGGAUAAAAACUAAAAUGAAUGACUGGUAGUUUGGUACUAUAUAGAGUAGUCUUCGAUCAGGAACGAAGAUAAAGUUCCAAGACCUGAGAGUCUCAGACCGAUUCACUCCUUAUCAUUAAAGACCAAUGCUAACAUGUGCGCUUUGAUGUGGUCUUACUUGUUGGCAAUGACAUUACGUGUACCUAGUUUAGGUUCGUUGCAUCUGUCGUAUUUGUAGUGGAUGUUAGGGUAAAAUUGGCUAUUCCUAAACAAAACGUAUGAGUUUGUAAUCUUAGACUAGUGCUUGUUUUCAGUUGUAAUUAUUUUAGUCUAAGUUUGUCUCACGUGCUCUCGAUCACAAAAUGGCAAGCGUUUCAGAGACAUCCACUCAAGUAAGUUUGUCAUGCAUAAGGAUUUCAUGUAGUUAGGUUUAUCUUGGUUCAAAUACAAAUACAUUUAGUUUUGGCUGCAUGUUCUUGAACUUAACGAAUCGACUGAUUUGGUUAUAUGUUAUAGACUAAACUUUAGGUUUGUACUUAAUGAAUCAGUUCACCUUUGUUGCCGUGUUUGCAUAGGAUGUUAGUUAACAUCUAAUUAACUUGAUAAUUUUGCAUGUUUGUCAAGUUGAUAAUUAUGAGAGUUUUUUUGUUUUGUUAUAAUCCAAUCACAUGCAUAUCUAUUUUGCAUGUUUAUCAAGUUGAUAAUUACAAGAGUUUUUGUUUUGUUUUAAUACUAUCACAUGCAUAUCUAUUUUGAAUGCAUUAUCUGAUUCACGUUUGGUUUAAUUGCAUUGAUUGGAUAUUAUAUAUAGGACUGUAUUUAGCCCUUUAAAAUUGGCUGCAUAUGCAUUUAGGUUUUCCCGAUGGUAUAAACACGAGCAGCAAUGCAUUAAACAGAGAGAAAAAUUCUUGUGCCGCAUGUCUAGGGUUAAGUCAGUUUAUAUUUUCAUCUUGAUGAAUCAGAGUAGGUUUUUAGUUUUGCUUUUACCACAUGAUAUAUCAUUUGAAAGCAAACGUUUGUUAGCGGCCCUAAGUGCACCGAGAGUCAUCUUCGUUUAAGAAAAAUCAGUUUUAUUGCCAAGUUUUUCAAAGAAAAUAUUAGUUUUUGUUCACUGAUUUUUCAUGCGCUUUAAUUAGAAAUCAAUUAUGAAAAUGUGCCUUGUGAUUUUCAUAAUUGGUUGAUUUCCAAAAAUCAUUUCAUUACAUACAUUAUGCACGAUCGCGUUAGUAUCUUGCAAAGUUCGAGGCGACAGUGAUUGACGGCCACGUUAGUAUCGUGCCACUUCAAUUAGAAGGCUGAAGAGAGAUCGAGUAGCAAAGCGCGGAGACAGAACUGCCUACUAGUAUGUGUGUCUAGUAUGAGUUUUGUAAGUCUUUCUGUACUCAUUUCUCUUAGUGUUUGUCCUGUCUUGGGAGCCCGACGAUUUUCCCAGUGGUGGGUUUUGCCUCGUUAAAUCCUACAUCAUGUGUGCACGUUUUAUUUAUCGUUUUAAUUGCAUAUGAGUAUGAUAGUUUGAUAUGUGAUGUGAAUGUGGAUUUAAUUUGAGAACAGAAAAUUAAAUUGAAAUUUGAAUUGGAUUUUUAAAUUGGAACCUAUUCACCCCCCUCUAGGUUAAACUAGUACCAUCCUAGAACUUUCAGUGGAUUACAUCUGUACAUUUGUGGUAGUACGACAGUGCUUGUGGUAGCCAAUUACGAAAUUAUCUUUAUACUUUUUUGUGCAAAUUAUCUUCAGAUCAUUGAAAAAUAUAAUGAUGUGACAACACAGGUAUUUGUUCUUGUUUGCUAAUAAAACUACAAUAACUUUUUGUCAACAAAAACAAAAAACAAAAAAAAAAAAAAAAAAAAAACCUAGUGCUACCCCAUUUUGGAAUUAGUACUUACAAAUUACAAGCUAGCAUUUCAAAGCACCGAGCACUCUUUCUCUGGACUGGCCUUUUGCUUUCAUGAGUUUCAUCUUUUGGAAUGAGCUAGGCCGAUUAGAUAAAAAGACAUUUAGACCAUCUUCAAAAGAGACGUCAAAUAUGCCAAAUAUGAUUAAAAGAUAUUUAGGUGUUCUUCAAUCGAUAUGCCAUAUAUGAUGUGGCAUGUGAGUCAUUUGACUCCUUUGCUUUCUAGCUGCCUUUUUUGACAACAAAGAACGAAUGAGUCGAAUAUAUUUAAUUGAAUUUUUUAAUACAUUAAUCCCAUUAACGUCCAAUAGAAUAAAAACUACCAUUAAUUUUGAUUAUUUUUUAAUAGUUAAUGUAACUUUAGACCCAAUAAAAUAAUAAAAUAAAUAUUAACACAUCCAUUAGAAAAGAAGAGAAUUUAACACUUGUAUUCAAUUUGCCACAUAAGCCAUCAAAUAAAAUUUUAACAUAUUAUAUUUGACAUCUUCUUUAAAGAUGCUCUUAGUACCCUGCCUAAACCCUAGACGCUAAAUGUUGUACAACUAUACAUAUGCACAACCGGACAUUCAAAUUUUGAUUGCCAAAAAACUCUAACGAGCCAUCGACCAUGUAAAUUGCGGAAUUUUUUUCGAGCUAAAACGAUAUUUGUAUUAGAUGUAAAACCAACACACAAUGCACAGUGGGAAUGUACAGGUAACCUAACUGAAUGGAGAUAUAAUGAAAUAGGUACAAAUAAAUACAUAGUCCUCCAACUACAUUCAUAAUCUUAUACUAUUUCCGCAAGGAAAUAAAGAUAUAAGCAUGUGGUCCAAUAUCUUAAUAAAUAGAGUGUUAGGUUUCUACUAUUGCAUCCCGUGUUCGAAACUCUCCCACCCUUCAAUAAUAAUAAUUUAAAAAAAAAACAUUCAUAAUCUUACACUCUUUCCGCAAGAUGGGAGAAGGAACCAACAUAAAAGUUUAUUCGUUUAAUUAUAUCCAACAAGGAUAUCUUGUAACCUCAAAAAAAGAAGCACAACAUAAACAUACAUAACAAGACAAACAAUUUAUGUACGCUAAAUUUUGAUUAACCAUCUCAAGCACAUGCAAGCAACAAUAUGGAUUUCACAUAAAUAUAAUUCUUCAAAACCUUUGUCCUACAUAUAUAUAUACUUUUUUUUUCCUUGCAAUUGUUUAAUCUGAGAUUAGCCUUUGAUGUUUGAUGGUUUAUUAACUAAUUAAUCAAGAUCAGAAAAUAAUAUCAAGGCCCUGACCCAGCAAGCAACUAAGAUUGUGUAGCUAAGAUAUAGCAAUUUCUUUAGAGCAAGUCCACCCCUAAAGACUUUGCGCCAGCACCAAGCCUAUUUAUCCACUCAAGUGAACAGUGAUAGACUUUAAUGAACAGUAAUAGACAAAUGCAUCUCCACCCCUAAAACUAAAUAGCCUAGUCAAUUUUAUUAAAAUAUUAUUAAUUUUUAUUAUAAAUAAUAAUUUGGUUUUUUACUUUCUAACUUCUUCCUUCUUCUUCUUCUGGAAAUGAAUCUCCUCCUCAUUUCUCUCUCUCUGUCACGCACGCGCACAUGUACACACCAAAAUCCUCUCUGUGUGGCCACAAAACCCCUGGAAAUCCCACCAUGCAUAACCCUUCAGUUGCAACCCAGGAACCCAGUUCGGUCUACGACCUCGUUUCUCAAUUGGGUCGGUUCGCCUUCAGCUCAGGGCCUCAUAGCAGCUCUGAUUCUGAUGGGCACUCCUCGUUUUUGUCCAAUUUCUUGUAUUUCGACGCCUUUGGGGGUGCUUCAGUUGCCGGGAAGAAGCCCAAGGUCGGCGUUUCAGCUUCACUGAGCUUGAGCAGUCGCGGCGGUUUGGGAAUUUGGAGGAGUGUGACGGAGUUUAAUCGGGCUAUACGGUUCCACUGUGAGAGAGAAGGGGGUUGAUGGGGUUCCAGGGAUCGGGUUCAGGCGUCGGAUGGGGUUCCGGAUGAGAGAGAUGGUAGCCAUGAUGUCAACAUGACGUCAAAUGAGCCGUCUCCUUCCUCUGUCAAUUUUAAGCCAGCCUGUGGACUGGCUUGGGCUGGGUGCCAGUCUAUUCCACGAGCUGGAGUGAAUUAGCUGAGUCCCAGCUUGUUUUUUCCACUGGGUGCCGGGCUAUUCCACCUCCGGUGGAACUGCUCUUAUAAUAUAUGCAAUAUUAUGUUCAAGUUUUUGUUUUGUUCAUAGCAUGAAAAAGCUUCUUAACUUAUUAAUUUGAAUGACAUACGCAUGCAAAGCAACGCCUGAAUCUGAAAAUUAUUGUCCUUAUCUGAUUAUUUCUUUAUAAAGGUUUUGUUUUAGUUUGCAGUUUUAUCGAGAGCAGUACUUCCAGGACCAACAUCAGUUGGAGGGUUUUUCGUUUUGACUAACUACAGCAUGUACGACUGCAUGUGUAAAUACACACACUAUAAAACUAGAAAUAAUAUUUUAUGAAUCGAAACCAAAGGGACGCUAUUAUCAAGAAGGGUACAAAAUUUGAAGAGGACAUCUUAACUGACUUGUUACUCUACGAGUUACAAAACAUCAUAUUUAUAAGAAAAAACAACUAAAGCAAACCCUAAUCCUUGAAGAGCAAACAAAUCAUAAACUUAACGAGCAAAUAACUUUAAUCCUUAACCCACAAGAAAAUCAAUAAAAAAACAAUAAUAUUAAAACUAAUUUUCCAACAAAGAGAGACCAAACAAUUGAACACAUGAUAAAUGCAUAGCGGGCACUUUUAGGCAAACCAUAAUGUAGAAAACCAUAUUUGAUUGAGAUCAACAUAGAUUAUGUGUGUGUGUGUGUAUAUUUACCUGGGUAACAGUUGGAACUCCAAUCAUCACCGGCGUCCUCCACUAGCUAGCCCGAUGUCGUUUCUUCCUUUCAAGGUGCAACAACAAUAGAGGAUGAGGAGGUAUGAUAGAGAGGGCGGGAGGGCAUGAGAGUAGCAAUCGCAAUGACAACAAAAUAUAUCCAACUCGAUGCUACAUAAAGCGCUAGGGUUAAGUUUUGUUUUGUUUUUUUUUUUUUUUUUUUAACAAACAAUAUUAUCUACACUAGCCUUAGCUACAUAUAGGCUAGCAAUAAUGUGAUUCAAAUUUGUCGUUGACGAGAAUUGAACCUAAGACCUCUCAUUUACAAAUAAAGAAGAAUAUCACUAGACCGUAAAGAUAAAAUUCUAGGUUUUGGAUGAAUAUUUGUUCUAAAGUUAUUCUUUUCACAUAGAGGAAUAUAUAGGCUUAUACAAUCUCCUACAAACUAGGAAACAAAUAUCGCAAAUCUACAAGGAUACCAAUUACAUAUUUUAUACCCAAAAUAACUUUACAUUCCUUAUUCCCUAAAAUUGCCUUAAGCAACACUCCCCCUCAAGUUGGUGCGUAGAUAUCACCUAGGCCCAACUUGUCCAAUGAGUUCUGAAACACCUUUGUCACCACUACAUGCGUCAACACGUCAGCCAACUAAUCUUCGGAUCUUACGUAUGGAAUAUCAACUAACUUAACAUCCAACUUCUCUUUGAUAAAAUGUCUAUCCACCUCAACAUGUUUUGUACGAUCAUGUUAAACUGGAUUAUAAGCUAUUUCUCACGCAGCCUGAUUAUCACAAUAUAAAAGCAUCGCUCCACGUGGCUUGAAUCCAAUCUCUGUUAGAAGAAUCCUCAGCCAUAAUAACUCACAAAUCCUAUGCGUCAUCCCAUGGUAUUCAACCUCUACCGUGGACCUAGCCACCACAUUCUGUUUCUUGCUCCUCCAAGUCACAAGAUUUCCGGCAACAAAUGUAAAGUACACUGACGUCGAGCGUCUAUCAGUAAUGUUCUCGGCCCAAUCAGCAUCAGUGUACCCUUUUACCUCCAUAUGCCCAUGUUUCCUGAAAAUCAACCCUUUUCCAAGUGCACCUUUCAAAUAACUCAAUAUCCGCAUAACAGCAGCCAUGUGAUCCUCACUAGGAGAGUGCAUAAACUAACUUACUACACUAAUAACAUAUGUAAUAUUUGGUCUUGUGAGAGACAAAUAAAUCAACCUUCAUACUAACCUCCGGUAUAUUUCCCUGUUUGUUGGAACUUGGUUUGGGUAGAUAGCCAAAUGAUGAUUUUGAACUAUAGGUGUUUCUGCUGAUUUGCAUGCCAGCAUCCUAGUCUUAAACAAAAGAUCUAGAACAUACUUUCGCUGAGAUAAUUAAAUGCCGUCACAGGAACGAGCAACUUCAAUCCCCAAGAAGUACUUCAAACCUCCUAAAUCUUUCAUCUCAAACUCAUAAGAAAGAUACUUCUAUAAUCUCUCUAUUUCCUCUGUAUCAUCACCUGUAACUACCAUAUCAUCAACAUAUAUUAUCAACAAGGUAACCUUUCCUCCCAUGCGUUUGAUAAACAAGGUGUGAUUUGCAUUCCCUUGUUGGUACCCAUAUUUCUUCAUUGCAUUAGUGAAUCUUCCAAACCAGGCCCUCGACGAUUGUUUGAGUCCAUAAAGAGCCUUUCGUAGUUUGCAUACUUUACCUGCUUUAUUCUGCACUUCAUACCCAAGUGGAAGCUCCAUAUAUACUUCAUCCUCCAAGUCUUCAUGUAGAAAAGCAUUUUUCACAUCAAAUUGUUUCAACGGCCAAUCAAGGUUAGCAGCUAAAGACAAAAAAACCCGUAUAGUAUUCAUCUUUGCUAUCGGGGCAAAUGUUUCCUGAUAAUCUACUCCAAAAGUUUGUGUGUACCCCUUUGCUACCAACCUUGCCUUGUAUCUGUCAAUGGUUCCAUCGGCCUUGUGUUUGAUGGUGAACACCCAUUUGCAUCCCACUGGUCUCUUUCCUUGUGGUAUUGACUCCACGCUCCAAGUUGCAUUUUCUUAGGGCCUUCAUUUCUACCUCAAUUGCUUCUGUCCAUCGAGGAUCCCGCAAAACUUUUUCCACUUUUGUUGGAAUUUUGAUUUCAUCCAUUGUAUUCACCAAGGCUUGGUACUUGGAAGACAGUCGGUGCGUAGAGACAUACUUUGCAAUAACAUAUCUAAUUUUCCCAUUCGGAGAAUACCUGUAAGGAGGUUUCCCACGAUUUUGUCUAGGGGCAAUACAUAAGUACUUUCAAUGUUAGUCAAAUUAUGAGCUUCAUUAGAUUGGGAUGUACUUACCUCAUGGAUAUCCUCGGGGGCACAGACAGGUACAAUUAGAGAAGGGUUAUUUCUUGAAGUGUUUAGAUUGUCAAAAUUAGUUAAAGGUUGCAGCCUGCUGCUACAAGGCCCAAUCUUUGCACUGUUGUCAUAGAGGUUUUCGAUCCUGCUGCAUGGCCCAAUCUGUGCAUUUUCAGAACGGCUUUCAGCCAUUAGAUCCUCGGGCCCACUUGUCAAGCUCUCGGCUCUUAGGCCCUCAGGCCCACCCAUAUUUUCUUCCAAUCUCGGCAAGCCCAGAUUUGGCUCAUCCAAGCUAUUGGGCUCACAAUUUUGACCCAUAUGACCCGCUGCAGGACCACGAUAGGUGUUGUCCACCACAUAACCCACUGCUAGACCAUGGCAGGUGUUAUCCACUGGCACAGUUGGCAAAUCAAUCCAACUAUAAUCUUCAUUUGUGCUCGUCUCCCCCUGAAGAUUAUGGUAGGUGUGUUCAGUGAGAAAAACAUCUCAUGCUCAGAAAAUGUAACAUCCAUGGUGACAUACAUAUGCUUGGUUGGUGGGUGAUAACAUCGAUACCCUUUUUGCUGAUUAUUAAAUCCCAGAAAAGACAACGAAUUGCACAUGGGUCCAACUUACUGCAUUGAUUUUUGUGAAGAUGUACAUAGGCCACACAACCAAAGAUACGUGGAGAUAAAUGAAGAGAAGAUGGUAAUGUCACAUGAUCAGCAAAAACUUCCAAAGGAGUACGAAAAUUAUGCACUCGGGAUGGCAUUCGGUUCAUGAGAUAAACAGAGUAUCUAACGACAUCCGCCUAAUAAGAGUGAGGAGCGUGAACACCAAUGAGGAGUGCACGAGUGGUUUCUAAAAUAUGUCCAUUUUUAUGUUUCGUGACACCAUUUUGUUGCAGGGUUUGUGGGCAAGUAGUCUCAUGAAGAAUACCGUGCUCCUAAAAAUUUUGAGAGAGUUCAGUGUUGAGAUAUUCCCCGCCAUUAUCUGACCUGAGAACCUUAAGGGGAAGAGAGUAUUGAUUUUUUAACCAUGCAAUAAAACUGGUGAAAAACGAUCCAACCUCACUUUUAUGUUUCAUAGUAUACAACCAAGUCAUUCGGGUGCAGUCAUCCACAAAGAUAACAAACCAACGAACCCCAUGAUUAGUAGAUAUUGGAGAAGGCCCCCCCCAUACAUCAGAAUGAACUAACUCAAAAUGAACGGUUCUUUUAUUGAAACUUAAUUGAUAAGAAGUACGAUGAUUUUUUUUGCAAGAAUGCAAUCAUUACACUGGAAAUUAGAGUCUGAAAUGCCAUGAAAUAAAGACGGAAGCAAUUUUUUCAAUAACCAAAAGAUGCAUGCCCUGAUCGACGAUGCCAUAACCAAAUUGUCUUAUUCUUGUUAUGGUGGCCACUUCUCACUUGGCAAUACAUCAUCCACAUAAUAUAACCCUCUCCUCUUAGUACCACGCCCAAUUAUCGCCCGAGUUUGAAUAUCCUGAAGGAGGCAAAAAGUGGGAAACAUUAACACAACACAAACUAAUUGCUUAGUAACUUGACCAACAGAAAGUAGAUGAUUGGAUAAUGAUGGAACAAUAAGUGUGUUGUGAAUCGAUGAAGAUGGAGUAAGGGAAAUAGAACCUGCUCCCGUUACAGGAGCAACAUCACCGUUGGCUAUAAUAACAUCAUCUUUAAAUGGUGAAGUCAUGUGAUAAAACAAUGAUGCAUCAUAAGUCAUAUGGUCUGUAGCUCCUGAGUUAAUUAUCUAACCAUUAUCUCUUUUGGUAGAUGUUAUUAAAACAGUAUCGAUUUUACCUAAAUUUUCUGAGUCGUCACCCAUUGAAAUUUGGUUGAUUAAGGAUAGAAGUGGGCAUGUUCUAGUUUUUGUGGAUCCUGCCUCUGAAGUCGGCCUCACAUAAUUAGCUGUCGAGAUUUGACUUGACGGGCUGAACCUUGAUUGACUUGCUACAACAGUAGCUACCCCAACCCGUAUCAGCUCGUUCCUGUUGGGCUUUGGGCUCAGCUUGGCUUCCUACGGCACUCGAUCCAGCUCUUGAUCCAGUGGCUGCCACUCGGGCUUGUCCAGCCCGUUUGUUCCCUCUUGCAUUUAGUUCAUUUUCCUUUCCCAGUACCAUUCUGGGUACCUAUGAAUUUCAAAACAUGUCUCAUCAGUGUGUCUCGUUCCACUACAAUGAUUGCAAUGGAGUUUGUCUUUAUCGAUAUCCUCCUAGGUUCGGAAUGAUCGAGAAUUUCCAUUGGAUGGUAGACGAGAACUAGGUGCCUUAGUUGCCAUAGCCAUAGAAGGUACUGCCAUUGUAGUCUUUGUUCCCAUCAUAGUGGGCUGCCUUUAGGAUUCACGUCGUACCAAAUUGAAGCAUUCUUCGAUUAUGGGGAUAAGUUUCAUCCUGAGAAUCUCACUCCGAACUUGGUCAAAACCACUAUCUAAUCCAACAAGAAAAUCAUACACCCUAUCCUUUGCAAGUUCUUGUUUAUGAGUUUUCAAAUCUACUCCACACACCAUACGGAGAGGACGUCUUUUGUCAAGGUCCUGCCAUACACCUUUCAGUUCAGUGAAGUUAAUUGGACGACCAUCUUAUCUCGUCCGUGUAGCCUUGCACCGAAGUUCAUAGUAUUGUGACUCAUCAGAACCAUCAUAAAACAUCUGUGUGACACUCUCCCAGAUAUCUUUAGCCGUGGGAAAAUCUAUAAAGAGGCCAAGCAAAUGUGGUUCCAUGGUUUUGAGCAACCACCCACGCAGAAUAGCAUCUUUUGUUGACCACUUCACAUAUCCUGGAUCAUCUUUAUCUAUCGCUGGGAUUUUCCCCGUUAGAUAUCCUUGUUUACCGAGACCUAAAACAUGAACUUCCAUCAUAUUCGACCAAACCUUGAAAUUAGUGUCGCUCAACCGAAACCCAAAAGGAAUGCCAUUGAUGUUGGUAGAUUCUCCUUGGACAGCCACGGGUUGCAUGGAAAUUAUGGCCCUACUUUUUUGUUCUACCAUUGUACCAAAGUUGCGAUUUAUCUUUGUCGUGGCUUUGUUGAUUCCAAAGACCACAAAGCUUUGAUAUUUCUGGGUUCAAGGUUUGAUGAACACUAGAAUUUGUUUCGACGGCUAGAGUAUACACGGGUUUAGGGUUUUUUCAAGAAGAGACAGGUCGAAACCUGCUCUGGUACCAAUAUAAAAUUCUAGGUUUUGGAUGAAUAUUUGUUCUAAAAUUAUUCUUCUCACAUAGAGGAAUAUAUAGGCUUAUACAAUCUCCUACAAACUAGGAAACAAAUAUCCCAAAUCUACAAGGAUACCAAUUACAUAUUUUAUACUCAAAAUAACUCUACAUUCCUUAUUCCCUAAAAUUGCCUCACGCAACACGUAAUACUACGUGGCAAGUUUUGUUUUAUUUUAUACAAGCACGAUUCUAUCAAUAUGUGGAUUAAAUUAUUAUUUUUAUAAAUUACCCAACUUUUAGCUUGAUUUUAAAAUGGCCUCAAUCUUUAAAAAUAUUUCAAAUAAAUACAUAACGCGUGGAAGGUAUCGGUUAGGUCACGAACAUUGAAGGUGGUGUGACCAAAUAUACUUAAUGACAUGUGCGGAUUUUCUCUGACACACCAUCUAUGAUGCUUUUAAUCCCCAAAACUGUCUGUUUUUGCUAAACAAAAUUAGAGUUGUGUCAUUGCUUAAUGUUUGUGACUAAAGAUGCAACUUGAAUAGGAAUAUCCAAUUUCGACCGAUUUUGAGCCGAAAUAUUCCAUUCAAUUCAAAUCCAAAACCAAAGUUCCGAUUCCAAAACUAGAAAUGAUAUGCGUUUCUAAAACUUUUUAGAUUGAACUGAAAACAUCAAAAUUAUCCAACAAGAAGCGAGCAAGUGAAUACAUGUUAUAGUUUUUUGAUAAAUGACUCGGUAACAUUAUAGUGUUAUUAGUGACGUUGAUCACUUAUGGAUUAUCAGCAUAAUGCCAAUUGCCAAAAUAAUAUAUCUUAUCUUACAACAGGUCAAGAUUUUAUUAAUCAAUUAAGCAUUGGCUAUAUAUAGCACGACCCAAGAAGUUUACUGUAUAUUUUGAUGGCUAUUUAAUUAUAUGAGGUUUAAAUUGAUAAUUCUAUCAUUGUUGUGGCUCCAACAAGUGCUAUUCGUGUCAUAUCAAUUGUUAAUCAUAUAUCUUAUCAUGAUAAUUAAUUAAGGAUACGUACCAAUGAGAAUCUAACUAAUGACAUAAUCAAGAUUUGACUUAGAAGAAUAUAAACACAUAAAUAUAUGGUGCAGUCUGAUCUAUGAGACUAUGACUCUGCCAAACCCUAAUCUUUCAGGAAAUAAUAAUAUAUUAUAAUAGGAAUAUAUCAUCGAAGGUCUGGGCUUAGAGCAAGUCCACCCCUAAAGACUUUACGCCAGCACUCAGCGCAUUAUCCACUCAAGUGAACAGUGAUAGACCACAAUGAACAGUAAUAGGCCAAUGCAUCUCCAUCCCUAAAAAAAAUAGCCUAGUCAAUUUUAUUAAAAAAUUAUUAUUUUUUAUUAUAAAAUAAUAAAAAAUAAUAAUUUUAUUUUUGAUUUCUGACUUUAUAAAAAAAUAUAUUAUUAUUAUUAAAAUAUUUUUAUUUUCUCAUCUUCCACACCUCCUUUCCCUUCCAUUUCUGCACGCCAUCCACCCCUGCACUUCCUACAUCUCAUGCAUCUCCUCACCUCCUGCAUCUCCACAUCUCAACAACUAGCUCCUCUACAGCAUCUCCACACCUCCGACGCCGUCGCUUCGUCCUCCCGUCGUUCUCCCUCCGUGGUUCCUUCCCUCUCGACAUCCUCUCCCGCCUUGAUCAGCUCCGCUCCUCAGCCUCCACAACAACUCCCUCUCUGCGCAACUCCCUCUCUGACGUCAUAUGCCCUCCGACGCCACGCUAACGUCAGAUAGGCCAGUCCCAAGGUCUGUCGAUUUUAGGCCGGCCUGUGGACUGGUUUAGGUUGGGUGCCAGUCGAUUUCACGGGCUGGAGUGAAUUGACAGGGUGCCAGCCUGAUUUUUUGACUGAGUGCUGGGCUAUUCCACCUCCGGUGGAACUGCUCUUAAUGGACAAGGAUUGUCUGCCCUCCCACUUUCGGUGCCUUCUCAUGCCCUCUUCUUUUGUGUGGUCAUAGUUAAGUCACGUCAACAUUUUUAUGUUAUAUUGUUUUUUAUAGAGAUAAUAAGACAAAAAUAAAUAGUAAUAUAAAAUGUUGACGUUGCUUAACCGUGACCACACAAAAAUGAGGACACGGGAGGGCAGAUAAUCCUUGUCCGGGCUUAAUUGGGUGGAUCGUGCGCUUUACAAUUACAUGACAUCAUAGCUUUGGCGAUGGUGGAAUUCCAAGUCAUGUUGAAAUGAGUUAGUCAUCUUUGUCGUCUAAAAGAUAUCAUUGCCACUCAUCUCUAAUGGGACGUCGUCGUAUAUUAUCAAUACCUCCUCAGCUCUACGUUGAAAGUACGUAUUCAUCUCCUUUAUUAUUCCGUCUUUAAUGCAUCUAGUGCCAUCCGUUAGUAAAAUACAUUACGAGUAUAGUAAUAAAAAAUUACAUACAUAUCGUGAAAUAAAUAGUGGUUGUUCUUAUACAAUGUAUGUUAGUAAACUAUCAUAAACUUCAUAAUAGUGUAGAGAAGUUUUUGGGUUACCAUAUAGAAUCUUCGGAUAACCACUCGUGCAUGUAUUUGAUGUCCCGUAUAAAAAUAGUCUAAUGAAAAUGGAAAUACACACUCUUCUUUCCUCCUCCUAAUCCCUAUCUUGUUUCUAUUUUCUCAAUGUAUCUCUCUAGCUAGUUCUCUUACCUCUCCUCUCUUUCCCUCUCCCCAAAUCCAACCCCUUCUUUCACACUCAAACUCUCCUCUUUCUCUCUCUUUAUCUCUCACUCUCACUCACUCUCUCACUAUCUCUUCUCACUCUCUCACACUCUCUCCUCUCUCCCUAUCUCUCACUCAAUCUCAAUCUUGCCAAAAUGUAUUUUCUUACUAACUUUUAAUUUAUUUUUCAUUAAUAUGUGUUUUUGGAGUUAAUUUUGUGUUUGGUUGGGGUUUGGGGUUGGGUAUAGGGUGAGGGGUGGAGUUUGGGGUUGGAUUUGGGGUAUGCCGAUUUUAGGGGAGGUUAUGCCCAUUUUUUGGUUUUUUUGGUUUUUUAUUUUUUUUUUUGUAAGGAAUCGUCGGGACUUUGACGGUGAAAGUUGAGGAGUUGAGGAUUAUGAUGCUAUCGGACCAUAUCCCCUGCCACCAUCACCACAAUAGAUUUGUAUUAGGAUUUUAUUAUUGUAAUUUGUUAAUUUAUAUGUACAUUUUUAAUAAAAUGUAUAUUAUGGAUAAUUUGAUCACUAUUUUUCAUAUGUAAUUUUAUUUUGAAUAUGUCAAUUUAAAUUAAAGUAAUUAAAAAAUAAAGCCAUACAAUUAAAUUAAAAUUUUAAAAAUUCAAAUAAUAUUGCGCUACCAAAUAUUUCAUCGCGUAAACAAUUACUAAAAUUAAACUAGGAUUUGCCUACACACUUUGUGUGUAUGAACACAUA